RNAcentral lists this ribosomal RNA (126 nucleotides) under Agrilus viridis. Its description in RNAcentral is "partial 16S ribosomal RNA". Lineage: Eukaryota; Metazoa; Arthropoda; Insecta; Coleoptera; Buprestidae. The record is from RNAcentral.
CUAAUAUUCCAAAAAAAGCUAAUUUAACCAGUAUUUGGUCCUUUCGUACUAAAAUAUUUUAAAUAAAUGAGGUAGUAGAAUCCAACCUGGCUCACGUCCAGGGUUUGAACUCGGAUCAUGUAAGGG